CACGGGGGGUGCAAGCGUUACUCGGAAUCAUUGGGCGUAAAGGGCGCGUAGGCGGCCUGGUUAGUCAGAUGUGAAAGCCCGGGGCUCAACCCCGGAAGUGCAUUUGAUACUGCCAGGCUUGAGUAUGGGAGAGGAAAGUGGAAUUCCUGGUGUAGAGGUGAAAUUCGUAGAUAUCAGGAGGAACACCGGUGGCGAAGGCGACUUUCUGGACCAAUACUGACGCUGAGGCGCGAAGGCGUGGGGAGCAAACAGG
RNAcentral lists this ribosomal RNA (253 nucleotides) under uncultured bacterium. RNAcentral's name for it is "partial 16S ribosomal RNA". It matches the Rfam family "Bacterial small subunit ribosomal RNA", at positions 524 to 776 of the family's 1533-position model. The record is from RNAcentral.